Esox lucius (northern pike) is the source of this 337-nucleotide long non-coding RNA. The record is from Ensembl. NCBI's taxonomy places the organism in Eukaryota, Metazoa, Chordata, Actinopteri, Esociformes, Esocidae.
GUUCCCUCUUAAAGCAAGAUUUAUGAUGUAAAAAUCAUAAAUUACAUCGAUGAUAUACGGUGUAUCUCAUCAAGGAUUUCAACUGCAACGAGUCCCUUUCCAGGCAUUGUUUAUGUCUCAGUCAGUGUCUUUACUGUAACAUUCGACACAACAAGAAGAUUGGACAGGAGGACAGAAACUGUGCUUUUGAAAACUGACAACAGAACCUAAUCCUACUUCUGGCCACACAUCAAGCAGUACCAGUACUUUAGAACACUUCCUGUGCAAACACCACCAAGAUUGGACACAGCUGGACAAACAUAUCAUUUUGUGAAGAUCAUGCAGUUUUGCAAUGAAG